AAAGGAGCUGUCCUGGAGAGCUGACAUCGCUCACCCAUGCCCCUGCAAAGCUCUCUACCUACGCUUCCCCACUUUGCUUUUUCCAGCAAUUCAGACAAGCAAUCUCAUAAAGUGUUGGGGCUGCCUUUAGGUUGUAGUUAAAAAUUUCCAGCAGAUUGGUCACACAUCCUAUGAUAAACAAUAGCCUCCUAUGAGCUGUGAUAUCUUACGUUUGCAAGCCAGUGUGUGCAUGUGUGUGGAAAAAAAUCACCGGUUAUGCUGAGCAACGCUGCCCGACCACAGGGCCAUUUCUGCAGAAUUCUCUUUCCUGGGGCCAUCCCCCUUCAGGCUUUCUUGCUGAACCUGAAGCAAGCCCCAGCGAUCUUCCUCUCUGUCUUCCUCCUACAGUGCUGGGAUUAUAGAUCCACACUGACAAGCCUGCUUAGACCAGUGCUCCUAAGUGUUCCUGUCUUGAUGGAUUAGCUUGGCCAGGACAAGUUUACACAUCACUGGAGAAGUGUGAAGAGGGAGUGCGGAUGGAAAAAAAAUAGAGACACAAGAAGAGGUUUAUAAUGUUUGAAAUUAGGCAGCCCAGCCCGGAACUUUCCAUAAAAACUUUCUCCUGGCUCCUCCUCUUUCCUCCCUUUUAUUGCCAGAGUAUCUGAAUGGGCAAGCCUGCCUUGCUGUUUCCAUUACUCAAAC
Molecule: long non-coding RNA, 681 nt
Filed under: Cricetulus griseus (Chinese hamster)
Lineage: Eukaryota; Metazoa; Chordata; Mammalia; Rodentia; Cricetidae
Description: lncRNA (ENSCGRG00015035984.1)
Source: RNAcentral